CACGUAGGAGGCGAGCGUUGUCCGGAAUUAUUGGGCGUAAAGAGCUCGUAGGCGGUCUGUCACGUCGGCUGUGAAAACCCGAGGCUCAACCUCGGGCCUGCAGUCGAUACGGGCAAACUAGAGUGUUGCAGGGGAGACUGGAAUUCCUGGUGUAGCGGUGAAAUGCGCAGAUAUCAGGAGGAACACCGGUGGCGAAGGCGGGUCUCUGGGCAACAACUGACGCUGAGGAGCGAAAGCGUGGGGAGCGAACAGG
This 253-nucleotide ribosomal RNA is filed under the name uncultured bacterium. RNAcentral describes it as "partial 16S ribosomal RNA". It matches the Rfam family "Bacterial small subunit ribosomal RNA", at positions 524 to 776 of the family's 1533-position model. The record is from RNAcentral.